AUGGAAAGCCCCAGCAACGACAAACCUAUUCCUGGCCUGCACGAGCUGCCACCGGCAGUCAUGGACAGAGGCAAGGCCAAGGCGGACCCUGCCAACCCCCACGCCGUGGCUGUUGCCACCGAGCCGGACCUACAGGACGACAGCGAGUCCGAGUCAGGUUCAGAGUCUAUCGAGAUCGCGGACCUCAAGAAGCGCAUGUGGAAGGACCAGUUGCUUCUCAUGAAGCUCGAGGGCACCCCGGGGCACGAACGAAGAGCAACCGGGCAGAGGCCGGACACGGACCUGGCCCAAGCAGAGAAGGAGGCAGAGAUGCCGGAGUCACGGUACCGCCGCAAGGCGAUGCUCCGGGCGCAGGACGGCGUCCUCCGGCACAUGCUCAGGAUGAUGGAGGCGUGCAACGCGCGGGGGUUCGUGUACGGCAUCGUGGACGAGACCGGCAUGCCCGUGUCCGGCUCCUCCGACAGCCUCCGCGGCUGGUGGAAGGAGGACGUUGGGUUCGAGCGGACCGGGCCGACGGCCCUGGCCGGCCCGUCGACGGCCCUCGAGAGCCCGGGAUCAUCGUUCCUCCACGGGCUCCUCGACAUCCAGGACAGCACGCUGGGGUCCCUGCUCUCAGCGCUGAUCCAGCACUGCGAGCCCCCGCAGCGGAGCUUCCCGCUGGACAGGGGACUGCCGCCGCCGUGGUGGCCGACGGGCCAGGAGUUCUGGUGGGGCCUGCAGGGCGAGACCCAGGCACAUCAGGGCCCGCCGCCAUACCGGAAGCCUCACGACCUGAAGAAGGCGUGGAAGAUCUCACUGCUGAGCGCGGUGAUCAAGCACCUGAGCUCGCGUUUCGACCAGAUGCGCAAGCUCGUGUGGCAAUCCAAGCGGCUGCAGCAUAGGAUGAGCGCCAAGGACGCCGAGACCUGGUCCAGGGUCAUCACCCAGGAGGAGGCGCUCGACCGCCAGGUGCAGCGCGCCCUGCGGAUCACGCCGCUCGAGGAGGAAGACGACGACAAGGAGCCGCAGGAAGCGGAACACGGCCUGCACGUCGACAAGCGCAAGCGAGGGGUCGGCAACGAGAGUGCGGGAGGUAAUGACGACAGUGGUAGUGGCCGGGAGCUGGUUGCGCUGCCGGUCAUUGACGGCGUCGCGGAGGCGGACCGCAACUCCAUCGACGAGCUCAUGAAGAUGUACUACAGCUGUCUGCAGGGAACAGACGGUGGUGAGCAGGAGAUCAAGGACGUGGCGGCUGGAGGCGGGGAGCAGAGCAAUACCUCUUCUGCUGAGACCGGCGUAUUGGACGCGGCGACGGUGCGCGAUGACAUGUUCGACGAUUUCUUGAGCGUUGCCGAUGUGGUCGACAUGAGUGACUGCCCGGGCAGUCCGAUAUGGCACUGGGGGAGUUCGGAUUUGGAUUAG
RNAcentral lists this ribosomal RNA (1401 nucleotides) under Triticum aestivum (bread wheat). Its description in RNAcentral is "partial small subunit ribosomal RNA". Lineage: Eukaryota; Viridiplantae; Streptophyta; Magnoliopsida; Poales; Poaceae. The record is from RNAcentral.